This 265-nucleotide ribosomal RNA is filed under the name uncultured bacterium. RNAcentral's name for it is "partial 16S ribosomal RNA". It matches the Rfam family "Bacterial small subunit ribosomal RNA", at positions 793 to 1055 of the family's 1533-position model. The record is from RNAcentral.
GUCCACGCCGUAAACGAUGAGAGCUAGUUGUCAGUAAGCAUGCUUAUUGGUGACGCAGCUAACGCAUUAAGCUCUCCGCCUGGGGAGUACGGCCGCAAGGUUAAACUCAAAGAAAUUGACGGGGGCCCGCACAAGCGGUGGAGCAUGUGGUUUAAUUCGAAGCAACGCGCAGAACCUUACCCACGCUUGACAUGUCCGGUAUGAUUUCCAGAGAUGGAUUUCUUCAGUUCGGCUGGCCGGAACACAGGUGCUGCAUGGCUGUCGU